Molecule: ribosomal RNA, 92 nt
Filed under: Lodderomyces parapsilosis
Lineage: Eukaryota; Fungi; Ascomycota; Pichiomycetes; Serinales; Debaryomycetaceae
Description: Candida parapsilosis partial 5.8S ribosomal RNA
Rfam family: 5.8S ribosomal RNA
About the family: 5.8S ribosomal RNA (5.8S rRNA) is a component of the large subunit of the eukaryotic ribosome. It is transcribed by RNA polymerase I as part of the 45S precursor that also contains 18S and 28S rRNA. Functionally, it is thought that 5.8S rRNA may be involved in ribosome translocation.
Source: RNAcentral
UAUGAAUUGCAGAUAUUCGUGAAUCAUCGAAUCUUUGAACGCACAUUGCGCCCUUUGGUAUUCCAAAGGGCAUGCCUGUUUGAGCGUCAUUU